UAGUGGCGGACGGGUGAGUAACGCGUGGAUAACCUGCCGUAUACCGGGGGAUAACACUUAGAAAUAGGUGCUAAUACCGCAUAAGCGCACGGCUCCGCAUGGGGCAGUGUGAAAAACUCCGGUGGUAUACGAUGGAUCCGCGUCUGAUUAGCUAGUUGGCGGGGUAACGGCCCACCAAGGCAGCGAUCAGUAGCCGGCCUGAGAGGGUGGACGGCCACAUUGGGACUGAGACACGGCCCAAACUCCUACGGGAGGCAGCAG
Molecule: ribosomal RNA, 261 nt
Filed under: uncultured bacterium
Lineage: Bacteria
Description: partial 16S ribosomal RNA
Rfam family: Bacterial small subunit ribosomal RNA
Source: RNAcentral